UACAGAGGUCCCAAGCGUUGUUCGGAUUCACUGGGCGUAAAGGGUGCGUAGGCGGUCGGGUAAGUCUGAUGUGAAAUCUCACAGCUUAACUGUGAAACUGCAUUGGAUACUAUUCGGCUUGAGGAAUGGAGGGGAGACUGGAAUACUUGGUGUAGCAGUGAAAUGCGUAGAUAUCAAGUGGAACACCAGUGGCGAAGGCGAGUCUCUGGACAUUUCCUGACGCUGAGGCACGAAAGCCAGGGGAGCAAACGGG
RNAcentral lists this ribosomal RNA (253 nucleotides) under uncultured bacterium. RNAcentral describes it as "partial 16S ribosomal RNA". It matches the Rfam family "Bacterial small subunit ribosomal RNA", at positions 524 to 776 of the family's 1533-position model. The record is from RNAcentral.